AUUGAACGCUGGCGGCAGGCCUAACACAUGCAAGUCGAGCGGAUGAAGGGAGCUUGCUCCUGGAUUCAGCGGCGGACGGGUGAGUAAUGCCUAGGAAUCUGCCUGGUAGUGGGGGAUAACGUCCGGAAACGGGCGCUAAUACCGCAUACGUCCUGAGGGAGAAAGUGGGGGAUCUUCGGACCUCACGCUAUCAGAUGAGCCUAGGUCGGAUUAGCUAGUUGGUGGGGUAAAGGCCUACCAAGGCGACGAUCCGUAACUGGUCUGAGAGGAUGAUCAGUCACACUGGAACUGAGACACGGUCCAGACUCCUACGGGAGGCAGCAGUGGGGAAUAUUGGACAAUGGGCGAAAGCCUGAUCCAGCCAUGCCGCGUGUGUGAAGAAGGUCUUCGGAUUGCAAAGCACUUUAAGUUGGGAGGAAGGGCAGUAAGUUAAUACCUUGCUGUUUUGACGUUAACAACAGAAUAAGCACCGGCUAACUUCGUG
Molecule: ribosomal RNA, 484 nt
Filed under: uncultured bacterium
Lineage: Bacteria
Description: partial 16S ribosomal RNA
Rfam family: Bacterial small subunit ribosomal RNA
Source: RNAcentral